CCUACGGGAGGCAGCAGUGAGGAAUAUUGGUCAAUGGACGAGAGUCUGAACCAGCCAAGUAGCGUGAAGGAUGACUGCCCUACGGGUUGUAAACUUCUUUUAUAUGGGAAUAAAAUGUUCCACGUGUGGGAUUUUGUAUGUACCAUAUGAAUAAGGAUCGGCUAACUCCGUGCCAGCAGCCGCGGUAAUACGGAGGAUCCGAGCGUUAUCCGGGUUUAUUGGGUUUAAAGGGAGCGUAGGUGGAUUGUUAAGUCAGUUGUGAAAGUUUGCGGCUCAACCGUAAAAUUGCAGUUGAAACUGGCAGUCUUGAGUACAGUAGAGGUUGGCGGAAUUCGUGGUGUAGCGGUGAAAUGCUUAGAUAUCACGAAGAACUCCGAUUGCGAAGGCAGUUCACUGGACUGCAACUGACACUGAGGCUCGAAAGUGUGGGUAUCAAACAGGAUUAGAUACCCUAGUAGUC
Molecule: ribosomal RNA, 460 nt
Filed under: uncultured bacterium
Lineage: Bacteria
Description: partial 16S ribosomal RNA
Rfam family: Bacterial small subunit ribosomal RNA
Source: RNAcentral